CUGAGAGCAGCAGCACAGGAGGCUGCCUGUCAAUGUCCCAGCCAGGAGCUGCCUGCAAAUGCUUCUGGCUCCGUUGAGACGGCUGAACUUGAGCCCAGCCCAGCAAUCAAGCACAUUAGCCCAGUCCUUCCAGCCCCGAACUAAAAGGUUCUGGUCCCUGCACAAGUAAGAAUUCUAAUGCAAUCUGAAAAUACACACUGACCUUAGGUGAUGCAGCCUGUCUCCUGAGAAGAUUUGGGGGAAAGGAAUGGAACAAGGAGAUUUAAAUAGCAGAUAAUUACAAACAUGUUGUUUUUUGGCUUAGAAGGAGUGUUCCAUUGCAAUGGGGGAGGCUGUCACCACCUGGACCCUGCUCUCUAGCUAUACCCAGUGAAAUGGGCUACAGUAGCAAUAUUUUUGGAGUUCCCAGAAUGCUCUGCCUUCCCCUCUUGCUGUGCUUCAGUGGGAACCUCUAUGGCCCAGGAGCACUGUUCCUUGUCUGUAUCUGCCCAAGGAGAGGCCAGGGAUCAGGACCUGCCAAAGUCUCUCCUUCCCUUCCCCUCAACUGGGAGGCCUGGUGACCUGGGUGAAAGUAUCUCAUCACAAUACUUGCUCUCUGGAGGCUGCAAGAGAGGUGUCGAUCUUUACCUAGAUCCCCAAGGUCAAUGGAACACAUGGACGGAAUACUUUAAGAACUGUUUCCCCACCCCAUGACCCACAGUGGAGACAUCCUGCCUCAGUGGGCUAACCUAAAAGACAGCAGGUCUGAAACAGACGGAGAAAGAUGCCUGGUAAUUGUAUCUGGCCACCUGGAGCCAGUCACGCUUGUAGCCCCUGAACUUUAGAGACUAUAAAAUGUUUUUUUUUCUUUCUCUUUAACUAUUUUGGGUUUAUUUUCUAUUAUUUGCAAUGAAAAUAAAUGAAUGGUUUUCGAAAGCACUGUCUUUUCCAUUUUCAGUGGUGCUUUUGCAUGAGCUCUUCCUGGUGCCCGUAGUUUGGGUCCUUGUCCACCAGUUCUGGCCAGGUCAAGUGUCCUCGCCUCUGAGAAGCCUUCUGUCCAUCCUGUCUCCACAGACAGCUAGGAGGUCACAAUGUGGCAUUCCCAAAGCACUGUGAGGUCACAUUGUGCAGUAAUCCCUGGUGGGUACAGAUACCUCCCUGAUCUGGUUUAAGUGUAAAGGUUCAUGUGCUGGAAGUCUGGUCUUCAGGUGGCCAUGUGGAAGACUGUAGGGGAAGCCUAGUAGAAGAUGGUUUUGUCAUUGGGGUUGGCACUGUGAUUCUCAUGUCCCCAUGAUUUCAUUGCGAUCAGGUCACCAUAAAGAAAGAGAAUGAUCCCUGCAUUGCUCUGGCUUCCUGUCUCCCCUGACACUUCUCCCUCUUGCUCAUGUUCCUACAAUGAUGCUGUCAGUCAUGUUGUGAUCUAACUCUGAAGCUCACUUCAAGACCCAGAUGCUGGCACCAUGCUCCUGAAUCUACAGAACUGUGAGCUAAAUAAACUUUCCUUUAUAAAGU
Non-coding RNA from Ictidomys tridecemlineatus (thirteen-lined ground squirrel), 1491 nucleotides. NCBI's taxonomy places the organism in Eukaryota, Metazoa, Chordata, Mammalia, Rodentia, Sciuridae. The record is from RefSeq and is a predicted model, not a curated record.